GCCAUACUCGAUCUAAUCAUCACCCAGCAGAUGAUGUUUUCUGAGAACAACGCAAGAGACUCUGUUUUCUGAGAGAAGGGAAACAGCUUGUUGUUGUUGACCAAUUCAGGUUUUGGAUUCACAUUUGUUGAAGAUCAACAUGGGAAUAGCAAGAAGGAAGGCUCCCUGUAGAUCUUUCUCUCCACCAGCCUAAUCUUGCUCAGUUUCUUGUGGCACCACACCAAUUGAUCGGUUGUGAUUGUAGACAUUCUCAGCACUCUUGCCACCAGCUUCAGGUCUACUUGGGAGAAGAAGAGGUCCUGAUUUGAUCGAUCUUCCUUUGGCCUUUUGAACUUCUUGACUAUGCAGUUGCCGGUUCUUACAAUGUCUUUGAGCUUCUUCUCUUUCUGCACCAAACAAGAGGAGAUUACAGGAGAGGAGUAGAGACAGUUGAAGAACUGGAGAAGCAUGCACCACCUUGCGGAGAUCGGAUUGGAUGUCUUCCAUGAGGUCAAAGUCUGAUGGGUCUUGCAGGUCGACAUGAGCUCCCAUGAACCCUUUCAGAAUACCUGGGGUUUCAUCCUUGUCUGCCUUGACAAAUUCCCAGAAGAUCCUGAUGGAUUCCUCCAUGACAUCUUCUAUCAUCUCACUUGUGAUGUCAUAGCAUCCCUUCUGGUGAUCCUCCAUCUUCUCUCUCGCUCCAUCCUCUGCAACAAAACUGGCCUUCGGUUGAUGGUUUGCAGGAGCAACAGAUGCGGUUCGGAGGUUGCUUACCUCUGAUCAAAGGAACUUGGAGAAGAUUUCGGAGAACGCAUCGGUUUCUGAUGUAGUUUGGCAGCCUCGGCCCUUGAAAUGUUUCGUUCUCGACGAAUCUCUGGAUGACCACUUGGAACUGUUGGAAUUCUCCGGCCACUUGAUUGAAGUGGUGGCUUCGGUAUGGAUCGGAUUCCGGCAAUUCCCGAGCUUUCUCGUACUGCCAUCUCAAGAACUCCCAUGACAGGCAUGUCUGGCCAACGUACACCACUUCCAGGUCACUCUGAAGCUCCUUGAUGAACUUGUCUGAAGGUUCGGAGCUGGGUUUUCGACGAAUCGACCAGAAGCUUUGGGAGAGGAUGGAUGAGAUUGCUAAGGCUAAUGUCUUUCGAGGUCCCAGUGAUCUGAGAGGAUCCUUCACCUGCAGGAAACCUGGAAAUUGAGGAGGAACGCUGAUGGUUACUACUUACUGCAUGUAAUCAAUGGCGAGAGGAAGAGAGAGAGAGGAGAAGGAUUUGGACUGACCUAUUGCGUACAUUUUCUGGUAGUUGAGGAUGUCGAACUUCCUCAUCCUCUCCCUGUAGCUCCUGUAAGCCCUGUGCAGCUCGUCCAGUGGAUCCUCGUGAAGGAAGCUCUCGUCCAUCUUUAAUGGCUUCAGAUCCUCCACUGUUCGGGGGCUCUCUGACUCCUCCAGAAUCGUCGGCAGACCGAUGUCCCUCGCUCUCCUCAGCUCCAUCCUCAGCUGUUCUAUCAGGUCCUGGUGCUCCCAGAGCAGCUCCAGCUCGCUGUACUCCUCGUCUCCUGAGACCUUGAACUGAUUCUUCUUCUCCGACUCAUCAGCAGCAGCAUCUGGUUCGUCUCCUGCCUCUUCUGCAUCGAGGACUUCCUCAGGGCUCUUCAUAGGACUGCAACCUCUGCUCGUCGAAUCAAGAUCGUCGUCACUGGAAUCGGUGAACUCGAUUUGGGGUGCAUGAGAACAUGGCAGAUUCGUUGUUUCUUGAAGCCUGUCAUCAGCUUCUUCUUCUUCUUCUUCUUCUUCUUCUUCUUCUUCUUCUUCUUCUUCUUCUUCUUCUUCUUCUCCUUCUUCUUCUUCUUCUUCUUCUUGGUUCAGACUCUUCCGCAGCUGUUCUUCUUCUCCAUCGAAGUCUCUCUCGGACAAGAAACCAUCUGAGUCCACGACGAGGUCGUGCACCGAGUAACCAUCGCUCAUGCUAAUGGAGUCGGUCUCCGAAUCGAAGCCGGAGAAUUCCUCCGACAAAGAACAUGCUCCAUUCUCUUCCACGACCUCAUAAUUUCUCGGCAAUAUCUUGUCCUUGAUCUCGAUCGAAUCGCUGGCAUUGUGCACGGCAUCAUCAUCGGCAGCUGCUGCUGCUUCUUCUCCUGAAUCGAGCUCGGUACAAGAGGUUGCGGCUUUCGGCUGUUCCAUGAACCCGCGGAAGUCUUUUUCGGACGAGAAGCCGUGAGAAGACUCGUCUCCUCCAUCAACAGGAUUCAGGCAGACCUUUGCGCUCAUCUCUCUGCGAAGCUCCUCCUCUCCUAUCCCUGCACGCAACACAAACCGAAACAGCAAGCUCUCUCAACAUACAGCCGCAGAGGAACGAAGCAGCAGCAGCAGCUCCCACGACUCCCUUACCUGAAAGCGUGAUCGACGAUGAAGCUGAUCAAAACGAUCAGAAGAUAGACAAGAAAGAAGCAGCAACAGAAACCAAGGAGCGCCAUUUCUCAGCAGAACAUGUCAUCCGCCAACUCUCUGUUCAUCAAGAGAGAAGUCCACCCACCAUUAUCUCCACCUCAAGCAAGAGUAAAUGGACACUUCACCUGCAACAACAGAGCAAUAAACCUCAAAAGAACUCGAGCAACCGAAGCAAACGGGUAAACCGGAAGUGGAAGUCCCACCUGAAAGAUGUGAUGGCAGACGAAGAAGAAGGUGAGGCUUCCCAUCAGCCAUGGUUGCCUAAUGCUCUCCGAUGCUGUUGGCCUGCCAAGUGUAGUGAGGAAGAGAGAAUUCAGAUGAGAGGCUUGACCAAGCCAACCUGCAACAACCAGUCCAUCAACCCCUCCCAUCAUCUCGGUUUUACCUCUGUGAAUCCUGUGGAGGUCAUCAUCUUCAUGGUCCACAAUGGAUUCAUUCAAGAACCUUAAUUGGGUUCACCUAACUCAUCUGCAAAUUGAUACAAAUGAGAGACAACCUUAGAAUCA
Molecule: long non-coding RNA, 2931 nt
Organism: Musa acuminata AAA Group (dessert banana)
Lineage: Eukaryota; Viridiplantae; Streptophyta; Magnoliopsida; Zingiberales; Musaceae
Exons: 3
Source: RefSeq, a predicted model, not a curated record